UUUACUGACUCCUGAGUUGAUGUUGUUAGCUGCUGUUGUUGCUGCGUUGAUGGUGCCUGUUGAAUCUGCAUUGGCAGAGCUUGCUGUGUUUGAUGAUCCUGCUGUCUCUCGUCCACAUAGUCUGGUAGGAUUAAACGCUGGAUUGUUGGGGGUUGGCCUUGGAUAUCUGCUACUACCUCUUCACGGGAGGCGGCCGAUUUGAUUGCUGGAGCUGUUGCCUUGCCUGGAUUUCGGCCAAUCUCUCAUUUUCUCGCUUCUCUUCUUCUUGAAGCCGGAGGAGUGUUGGGAGCUGCUCUCUAAAUUGCAUCCUUUGUUGUGCCUGUUGUGCUUGGUGAGCGGUGUGCUGUGUGUGCGGUGGCUGUCCUUGGCGCUGUUGCGGUCCAUGUAGAUUCUGAAGCGGUCGUAUGUGUUGUUGUAAUUGCUGCGAGUAGCGGGGCCUCAGUAGGCGCUGUGGCUCAAAUGGGUGCUCUAGCAGAUUUCGUGCCUCAGGGUUUGCAUGUCUGGCCAAAGAGUUUGCAAAGCGGUCACUUGUCAGGUGAAAGACUUCGUCAACAGUUUUAAAGCAAUAUGUACUCCGUAUUGUUGCGUUUCUGGUGUACCAGGAUGCAUUAACUGAUUUUCUUAUUAUUUUAUUUUGCAUUCGUUGAAUUCGUUGUAACUGUGUGUCUGAUGUGAGCGCCCCCCAAACAGGAAGACCGUAUUGCCAAAUUGGCAUGAUGAGCUGCUUGAUGAGUACCGCUUUGCAGUCCUUUGCCAGUCUGCUGUUGGGACCGAGAAGCCACAUCAGUUUGGAUGCUCUUGCUCUCAGCUUGAUACUUAGUGUGUAGAGCACAUGGCC
Molecule: long non-coding RNA, 838 nt
Organism: Drosophila montana
Lineage: Eukaryota; Metazoa; Arthropoda; Insecta; Diptera; Drosophilidae
Exons: 3
Source: RefSeq, a predicted model, not a curated record